UUCUCCUCCUCUCGAAAAGGAUAAGGAGUCUUCUAGACUGCUCCCAAAUUCCUCGCCACCGACCCUCCCCUCUCUUUCCCAGUGACAGCCGGAUUUGAAUUGGGCGAGGAUCCAUCCCCACCCGAGCUCAGAGCUCCGGCAACCAUAGCCGCCGGUAGACAGAGCUCGGAGCUCCCGUAGCCAUGGCUGCCCGUAGACAGAGCUCCGCCGUCUGGAUCUCGCGUCACCAGUCUCCUCUGCUGCCUCUCGGUCUUCCCUUGCUCUGGAUCCAGUCCACCAAGAGCCCAGCCUUGCUGCCAAGUCCAUCGCCGCCGCCUGUGUCCUAUGUCCCGACAGCACACGCCGCCACAUCUGUCCCCCUCCUCGACUGCAUCGGCUCUCCUCCAGCACGUGACCUAGGGUUGCAUGCAUGGUGGGAUGCACCAGCCUGCCAGCCUACCCCGCAGCCCCCCCGCUGACAUGGGCCCGAGGCCCAUGAGGUGAGGCAGCUGCCCCUCCUCGCCUGGCGAGGCAGCUGGAGAAGUAGCUGCGGGACCAGAGGCUGCCGUAGGAUGAGAUACUGUGGUGCUGCAGUGUCUAGUGGUUGAAGAAGGGGUGUGCUGGGAAGAGGAGUUAGUGGUGAGAGUGCUCGAUCUGGAACAGGACAAGCUUGGGCUGCACCGGUGUGUUUGCUGCUACUGAAUUUUUCCAGGGCAUUGCAGAUGUGGAGGAGUUUUUCCAGGGCUAUCUGCCUGUUCCCGGCCGCGCUGGUGUCAACUACCUCGAGCCACUAUGGCCACCCCCAACCACGCUCACCCCCCGGAACAAUAAACAAUUCUAGAGGGAAAGCACCCGGCCUGUGAAACCUAGCGCCGCUAGUUUCCCUGCCCCGUCUUGCCGUCACCGGAGGGGCCGAUCGACGAAGCUUGGCUGGCUCCCGGGAUGGCGGCGGCGGGGCACUUUUCGGGCUUGUGCGCGGCGCAGGUGAGCGCGGCGUUGGCCGCUAGAUUGAGCGUAGUUCCCCACGUGGGCUGCUGGAUCUGGCGGCGGCGGCUGCUCAAUGGAGAUUGUGAUUGUUCGUAGUAGAAUGUAUGCACGAGACAUGAAUCUUGGAUUUUAUAUUGUUUUCCUCGAUGCUUGGGCUUCCUCGAACUUUUUGUAUAUUGCACACAACACAACACAUAAAUUCAUGGAUACUAAAUUUUUAAAUGAUUUGAAAUCAUGUUGUUUUCUAUUCUACUGCCAUUGGUUCAUCACUCUGAACCAAAAUCAAUUGUUGGAACUCUGGCAUAUAUUGGUCCUAAAGUUGUGCUAAAGAAAGAAUAUGACGCAAGCUAUGAUCCAGCCUAUUUGUGAUUUAAACGGUCUGCUGCAUACUCUGCCAUCUGCUGCAUACUUAAUUAUGUUUGCUCGGCCAUAAAAGCCUUACUUGAUUUUUGGAUCUUCCAUUCACCUUCCGUUGCCAUGAGUGGUGAAUGGUCUUGAGGAGUAAUCAUUUAGAUAAUGUAUGUAUUUUGCUCAAGCACUAAUAUUAUGUCUUUGAAUGGCCUAUGCGUGGAUGUGGGAUAACCCUUUCUGUGAUGUUGGUUGGUGCUUACCCUCUCGAGGAUCCAGAAGAUCCAAAAAAACGAAAUUCAGAAAGUAUUGGGUGUUCAGUACUGGAUUUUAGGCUAUGUUCAUAUCUCUAGAGUGCCGAGACCUUAUCUCAGGGAUGUUUUUUGGUAACACGAUCUCGACAUCGAUAACAGCAGAGAGAUAAUAUACGCGUUAUAAUCUUGUAAUUAUAUGUGGAGAAGUAGUUGUGGUGUUCCUUCCACCUUUAUGAAUUAGUCUGUGAAGAGGUGAAUAGUCAGGAGCCCCAUGGAGCCAAACAAAGAUUAUGUUUAGGCUACAGAUUAUAUUCAUACUACAGCUUGAGUCUGAAUUUGUGUCGAUACAUGAAAAAUGUCAUGUGUGCCAAGAAAAGUAUGUUUAGAUGCACAACCAAUUUUGGUGUGCAUUUCUUAUUUAUUUAUUUUUGAGUUGGACGUGUGCAUUUCUAAUUAGAAGUAGAAGAAGAAAGAUGUGACAUGGACUUCCUAAGAUUACAUACACAUCGUUGAAUAGUACAGUUAGAAAAAUAGUAAUAAAAUUCAAAAAUCUUACUUAUUUUGGCGUCAAAUAUGCUGGAGUGUGAUAGCUGUGCGUAGGAUUUCGUGAAGGAAUAACAUAAAUGGUGGUCUGGACAAACGAAAAUUGACUAUUUUUAAAGCUUCUUGGAGCAUUCAUUUUGUUUAAUUUUGUACAAAGCAUCACAACUAUUUUUUUCUUCAUCAAAUUUUGCACACAACCAAAAAAAUGUAAUUUUGUUGGGGAGGAGGAUUGCACAUCUCACGGAAGAUAAAGAUAUCAAUAUGGUUAGACACGAGACCUACUCCUGCACAGUUCAAUCUCAACAUGCAUCUUGUUGUUCCGUGCAGCGCACGGACAUCUUACUAGUAAGUAAAUAAAAGUGUGACGAUCAUCAUUAUUAGAGCAUUGCCCCAUUGAGGAAAGGAUGAUGGAGACUAUGAUUCCCCCACAAGUCGGGAUGAGACU
Long non-coding RNA from Aegilops tauschii subsp. strangulata, 2556 nucleotides. RefSeq lists it as uncharacterized. Lineage: Eukaryota; Viridiplantae; Streptophyta; Magnoliopsida; Poales; Poaceae. The record is from RefSeq and is a predicted model, not a curated record.